Molecule: ribosomal RNA, 540 nt
Filed under: Boletus sp.
Lineage: Eukaryota; Fungi; Basidiomycota; Agaricomycetes; Boletales; Boletaceae
Description: LSU rRNA
Rfam family: Eukaryotic large subunit ribosomal RNA
Source: RNAcentral
GAUUCCCCUAGUAACUGCGAGUGAAGCGGGAAAAGCUCAAAUUUUGAAUCUGGCGGUCCCUGGCCGUCCGAGUUGUAAUCUAGAGAAGCGUCUUCUGUGCUGGCCCGUGUACAAGUCUCCUGGAAGGGAGCGUCAUAGAGGGUGAGAAUCCCGUCUUUGACACGGACUACCAGUGCUAUGUGAUGCGCUCUCGACGAGUCGAGUUGUUUGGGAAUGCAGCUCAAAUCGGGUGGUAAAUUCCAUCUAAAGCUAAAUACAGGCGAGAGACCGAUAGCGAACAAGUACCGUGAGGGAAAGAUGAAAAGAACUUUGGAAAGAGAGUUAAACAGUACGUGAAAUUGCUGAAAGGGAAACGCUCGAUGUCAGUCGCGUCGGCUGGGGAUCAACCUUGCAAGUCUGCUUGCUGGGCGCACUUCCCAGUCGACGGGUCAGCAUCAGUUUCGAUCGUCAUACAAGGGCAAGGGGAACGUGGCACUCUUUGGGGUGUGUUAUAGCCUCUCGUCGGAUGUGGUGAUCAGGACUGAGGAACUCAGCACGACC